RNAcentral lists this ribosomal RNA (338 nucleotides) under uncultured microorganism. RNAcentral describes it as "bacterial SSU rRNA". It matches the Rfam family "Bacterial small subunit ribosomal RNA", at positions 346 to 676 of the family's 1533-position model. The record is from RNAcentral.
GCGCAGCAGUCGAGAAACUUUAGCAAUGCCCGAAAGGGUGACUAUGCGACGCCGCGUGAGCGAUGAAGUCCUUCGGGACGUAAAGCUCUGUCUGGUGGGAUGAAUUUUUCGACCUUAACAGGGUUGGAGUUUGACCGUACCACCAGAGGAAGCCACGGCUAACUCCGUGCCAGCAGCCGCGGUAGUACGGAGGUGGCAAGCGCUGUUCGGAUUUAUGGGUGUAAAGGGCAUGUAGGUGUCCUAGUAAGUCCUGGCUGAAAUCCUUCGGCUCAACCGAGAACGUGUCAGGGAAACUGCUGGGGAUUGAGUACGGAAGAGGAGAACGGAAUUCCCGGUGU